GAGUUUGAUCCUGGCUCAGAACGAACGCUGGCGGCAGGCUUAACACAUGCAAGUCGAGCGCCCCGCAAGGGGAGCGGCAGACGGGUGAGUAACGCGUGGGAACGUACCCUUUACUACGGAAUAACGCAUGGAAACGUGUGCUAAUACCGUAUGUGCCCUUCGGGGGAAAGAUUUAUCGGUAAAGGAUCGGCCCGCGUUGGAUUAGCUAGUUGGUGGGGUAAAGGCCUACCAAGGCGACGAUCCAUAGCUGGUCUGAGAGGAUGAUCAGCCACAUUGGGACUGAGACACGGCCCAAACUCCUACGGGAGGCAGCAGUGGGGAAUAUUGGACAAUGGGCGCAAGCCUGAUCCAGCCAUGCCGCGUGAGUGAUGAAGGCCCUAGGGUUGUAAAGCUCUUUCACCGGUGAAGAUAAUGACGGUAACCGGAGAAGAAGCCCCCGGCU
Molecule: ribosomal RNA, 442 nt
Filed under: uncultured Alphaproteobacteria bacterium
Lineage: Bacteria; Pseudomonadati; Pseudomonadota; Alphaproteobacteria
Description: bacterial SSU rRNA
Rfam family: Bacterial small subunit ribosomal RNA
Source: RNAcentral